GACGAACGCUGGCGGCGUGCUUAACACAUGCAAGUCGAACGGAAAGGCCCUGCUUUUGUGGGGUGCUCGAGUGGCGAACGGGUGAGUAACACGUGAGUCACCUGCCCUUGACUUUGGGAUAACUUCAGGAAACUGGGGCUAAUACCGGAUAGGAGCUCCUGCUGCAUGGUGGGGGUUGGAAAGUUUCGGCGGUUGGGGCUGGACUCGCGGCUUAUCAGCUUGUUGGUGGGGUAGUGGCUUACCAAGGCGUUGACGGGUAGCCGGCCUGAGAGGGUGACAGGCCACAUUGGGACUGAGAUACGGCCCAGACUGCUACGGGGGGCAGAAGUGGGGAAUAUUGAACAAGGGGCGGAAGCAUGAUGCAGCAACGCCGCGUGGGGGAUGACGGCCUUCGGGUUGUAAACCGCUUUCGCCUGUGACGAAGCGUGAGUGACGGUAAUGGGUAAAGAAGCACCGGAUAACUACGUG
RNAcentral lists this ribosomal RNA (468 nucleotides) under uncultured bacterium. Its description in RNAcentral is "partial 16S ribosomal RNA". It matches the Rfam family "Bacterial small subunit ribosomal RNA", at positions 28 to 507 of the family's 1533-position model. The record is from RNAcentral.